RNAcentral lists this ribosomal RNA (162 nucleotides) under Triticum aestivum (bread wheat). Its description in RNAcentral is "partial small subunit ribosomal RNA". Lineage: Eukaryota; Viridiplantae; Streptophyta; Magnoliopsida; Poales; Poaceae. The record is from RNAcentral.
AUGAAAGAUUUGGAGCUUUGGUUUUUUGGUGAAGUAACGAUUGAAGGAGAUAUUAAAUUGUUGUUUGUGAUAGCAAGUGGCUUGCCUACAACAGAGGACUUUGAGCAUGUCACUUAUUUGGAAAUAUUGAAGGCUCCACCUAUCCCCAUAGGAAUUGCCUAA